This is a long non-coding RNA of Electrophorus electricus (electric eel), 993 nucleotides long. RefSeq lists it as uncharacterized. The record is from RefSeq and is a predicted model, not a curated record. Lineage: Eukaryota; Metazoa; Chordata; Actinopteri; Gymnotiformes; Gymnotidae.
CUGCACCCAGUGCGGGGCCUAAGAUGUCUGCCUGAACAAAUAUUUACCUCUGAGCUCAUCACCAAUUUUGUUGAAGUUGACCUUUAACUUUGCAGCUAGUUUCAUGUGUCUACAUUUAAACCCAGGAAGCAGCAGUGCUUGGUCCAGCGCAUGACAAGAAAAGGGAUGUAAACUCUUACUCAGGCUGUGAUUCGGCUAGUGCCAUGCUUGCUAACAGUGGACAUGAGAAUUGCUCUGUUUGAUGUCAACAAUUUUCCACAGCUGCUUGUAAUUCCAAGUAAAUCUCCCACCUCCAAGAAGAAACUGCUCCAGUCAUCAGUUACUGCUACUCUCUCCCAGCUCAUUAACAAUCAGUCGGUCUUGAUAAAUUGGAGUGGAAAUACAGAGAGAACUGACAAGCUGGGUGACAAAAUUGACAUGGCUAUUGAUGAAAUCAAGAAGGUUGAUGAAGAGGUUUGUGUUCUUGAGACACCAGCUGGUCAUGCCCCGGCUGAUGAAGAAUGUUAGAAACAAGCCAAAAAUUGUGUAUGUCAAAUCCAAUGGCCUGUUCUUCAAGGAGGACAUUUCUAAGAUGUGGUGGAGUGGUGGAAGCUCAGGAGAAAGGGCAGACCGCUCUUUCUGUUGGAGGGAAAACGACUUCUGGGAUGAGCCGAAGUUCUUUUGUGUUUAUGUCUCAUAUAAAUAUAAAUGAAACUCAUAAAUCUCUCCGGUAACCGAACCGUUAUUAAAUGGGUCUAUCUCAGCAUUAUUUGCUUCACAUGCAGUGUCGUUUGCUGAAUGUCUAAUAAGUGUUUAAAUUAAUUUGCUAAUGCCAGAUGCUGUAGCCUGGGCUUGCUGGCAAAUUGCACUCAGUUCUUAUUGUGUGUUAUUUGUUUCUUAUCUAGCACUUGUUCUCUUUAUAUGUCUUGAUCAUUAGUUUCACUUAAUGCCAGGGAGUUGAGAGAUUCUGUUAAAACAAAAGCUUUGUUUCUAUAUAUUAAACAUUUUAAGACC